AGUUGUAAUUUGGAGACGGGACACUAGAGAGGAGGAAGGCGAUUAAGUGCCUUGGAACAGGCUGCCGUAGAGGGUGAGAGCCCCGUGAAUCGCUGGAGACCGAUCAAUUAGUGCCCGCCGAAGAGUCGAGUUGUUUGGGAAUGCAGCUCUAAGUGGGUGGUAUAUUCCAUCUAAGGCUAAAUAUUAGCGAGAGACCGAUAGCAAACAAGUACAGUGAUGGAAAGAUGAAAAGAACUUUGGAAAGAGAGUGAAAUAGUACGUGAAAUUGUUGAAAGGGAAGGGUAUUUGAUCCGACAUGGUGUUUAGCAGCGGCCCGUUCCUCGUGGAUGGGUGCACCUGGUUUACACUGGGCCAGCAUCGGUUCUGGGAGCCAUAUACGGGGUUCGUGAAUGUGGCCCUUCGAUUCUGUCGGAGGGUGUUAUAGCGCGGGCAUCUUGUGGCUAGCCGGGACCGGGGACUGCGGUGACUU
This 469-nucleotide ribosomal RNA is filed under the name Brettanomyces bruxellensis. Its description in RNAcentral is "eukaryotic LSU rRNA". It matches the Rfam family "Eukaryotic large subunit ribosomal RNA", at positions 141 to 618 of the family's 3401-position model. The record is from RNAcentral. Lineage: Eukaryota; Fungi; Ascomycota; Pichiomycetes; Pichiales; Pichiaceae.